CUCAGUUCGGAUUGAAGGCUGAAAUUCGCCUUCAUGAAGCCGGAAUUGCUAGUAAUGGCAGGUCAGCAUACUGCCGUGAAUACGUUCCCGGGCCUUGUACACACCGCCCGUCACACCAUGAGAGUUGGGGAUACCCGAAGCCUGUGAGCUAACAGUAAUGAAGCAGCAGUCGAAGGUAGAAUCAAUGAUUGGGGUGAAGUCGUAACAAGGUAUC
RNAcentral lists this ribosomal RNA (214 nucleotides) under uncultured bacterium. RNAcentral describes it as "partial 16S ribosomal RNA". It matches the Rfam family "Bacterial small subunit ribosomal RNA", at positions 1287 to 1500 of the family's 1533-position model. The record is from RNAcentral.